CAGCAGCCGCGGGAAUACGGACCGUGCGAACGUUAUUCGGAAUUACUGGGCUUAAAGCGCGUGUAGGCGGGCCGCCACGUCGGUUGCUGAAAUCCCCCGGCUCAACCGGGGAAGUGGCAUCGAUACGAGCGGCCUUGAGGGGGGUAGGGGGAUCUGGAACUUCCGGUGGAGCGGUGAAAUGCGUUGAGAUCGGAAGGAACGCCCGUGGCGAAAGCGAGGUCCUGGACCCUUUCUGACGCUGAGACGCGAAAGCCAGGGGAGCGAACGGGAUUAGAUACCCGUGUAGUCCCUGUCUCUUAUA
RNAcentral lists this ribosomal RNA (301 nucleotides) under uncultured bacterium. RNAcentral describes it as "partial 16S ribosomal RNA". It matches the Rfam family "Bacterial small subunit ribosomal RNA", at positions 509 to 807 of the family's 1533-position model. The record is from RNAcentral.